GCUGCGCUUCCCUCCGAGGCCCGCUGGGGCCGCGAGCUCGCCGAGGCUCCACGUGCGCGUCUCCCCGCACACCACCCGCGCGCACGCCCGCCCGCGCGCACGCCCCCGCCCGCGCGCCCGCCCGCGCCUUCGCGGAGGGAUCUGGGAGUGAAGCUUCGGCGUGGGCCUGGGUCGCAUAGAUGGAUGAUGUAGCCGCUCCAGAUCGUACUUGCACUCCUGUUUACUAGGAAAAAAAAA
Molecule: long non-coding RNA, 237 nt
Organism: Lontra canadensis (Northern American river otter)
Lineage: Eukaryota; Metazoa; Chordata; Mammalia; Carnivora; Mustelidae
Exons: 2
Source: RefSeq, a predicted model, not a curated record